RNAcentral lists this transfer RNA (76 nucleotides) under Pseudomonadota bacterium. RNAcentral's name for it is "Proteobacteria bacterium (marine metagenome) tRNA-Ala". It matches the Rfam family "tRNA". From Rfam's summary of the family: Transfer RNA (tRNA) molecules are approximately 80 nucleotides in length. Their secondary structure includes four short double-helical elements and three loops (D, anti-codon, and T loops). Further hydrogen bonds mediate the characteristic L-shaped molecular structure. tRNAs have two regions of fundamental functional importance: the anti-codon, which is responsible for specific mRNA codon recognition, and the 3' end, to which the tRNAs corresponding amino acid is attached (by aminoacyl-tRNA synthetases). tRNAs cope with the degeneracy of the genetic code in two manners: having more than one tRNA (with a specific anti-codon) for a particular amino acid; and 'wobble' base-pairing, i.e. permitting non-standard base-pairing at the 3rd anti-codon position. Lineage: Bacteria; Pseudomonadati; Pseudomonadota. The record is from RNAcentral.
GGGGCCGUAGCUCAGCUGGAAGAGCAGGUGCUUUGCAAGCAUCAGGUCGUCGGUUCGAUCCCGAUCGGCUCCACCA